Molecule: long non-coding RNA, 989 nt
Filed under: Papio anubis (olive baboon)
Lineage: Eukaryota; Metazoa; Chordata; Mammalia; Primates; Cercopithecidae
Description: lncRNA (ENSPANG00000050724.1)
Source: RNAcentral
GAAAAGCUGUAGACACUCAACACCAGGCCAUGAAAGCAGCCGGGAAGGAGGUUGUACCCUGCAAUGCCACAAGGGUGGAGCUACCCAAGACCAUGGGAACCCACCUUUUGCAUCAGGUUGACCUGGAAUUGUGACCGGAAUUCAAAGGAGAUCAUUUUGGAACUUUAAAAUUUGAUUGCCCCACUGGAUUUCGGACUUGCAUGGGGCCUGUAACCCUUUUGUUUUGGCCAAUUUCUCCCAUUUGGAAUGGCUAUAUUUACCCAAUACCUCUACCUCCACUGUAUCUAUAAAGUAACCAGCUUGCUUUUGCUUUUACAGGCUCGUAAGUGGAAGAAAUUUGCCUUGUCGCAAAUGAGAUUUUGGACUGUGGACUUUUGGGUUAAUGCUGAAGGCCAGUUUAGAAAACACAUUAAACAUCUUCAACCCAAAGCCGAACCGCCCGGCACAGACUGUGUGUGGAGGAUGCACUGGAGUGUGGUGGACAUCUAGGUGGGUUGCCAGCAGAGGAGGUGGUUGGAAUCAUCUCGAUGAGAUAUUGCAAGGGAAAUGAAAAACAGGAGACUUUGUUGCUUCCUCUCUCUAAAGCUCUGUAUUGUUAUUAAAAGAUAAACAACCAAUAAUCCUGGGAAAAAUCCCCACUGUAGAGGAGAGGGGCAGAGAGCCUCUUGCUCUUUAUAACUGAAGGUUCUUUUUAGUGAUCUGGAUUCCAAGAAGAGCGGCCCAUAAAACAGGAUCCAUCUAGACCCUCUUAUUUUGAUCCCCUCCAGAAUGGUAAGGACGGUUUCCUUGUUUUGGUGAUGUCACCUUUGCUCUGCUCAAUGGAUUUGGUUACAGAUGAGAAGAUUUCAGAAUCUUCGGUGUUAAACCUGCCAUAAAUACAUAACCAUCUUCCUCAGGGAACACCUGCUGCCUGGCAUCUCUCUGUUAGCCGAUUUAAAAAAAAAUAAUAACUUUUUAAAUGCAUCUGCACUUUUCUUUAAAAAGUAUCA